UUAAAAAACACAGUAAGAGAACCAAAAAAGUGUCACUGUGGCUUAACACUGUGGUAGAAUAGUAUGGGUGCUGGGUAUUGUAGGCAGAGGGAGCUGAGCAGCCCAAACAGCCUAUGGUGGCCCCUUCCCCAGGCCAGUCUACUACCCACAGGGAAUUGGGUUUGGACAUGUUGCUUGCCCAGUGCUAUGGGGUCCAGAGCCCUGGGGCUGUGAGCACAGUGGCCUUGCCACCCAGGGGUUGUGGCACAUCAGGGCUGGGGCCUUGCCUCCCUCCCCCCAGUUGAGAAGUGCUGGGUCAUGGGCCACAGUGGGUAUGCUUUGAGAUCGUGCAAGGCUGAGGGGGUAGAAGAGAAGGCACGAGGGGAGCCAGGCUGCCUGUGAUGCCACGUAUAAGGGCUGUAGCCAUGUAAAAGGACUAUAAAAGCUCUGCAGCUCAGUGAGGGAUCAUUUAGACAUAUUCUUUGUGAGUAUGUCUCUGUGGUUAUGUUAAAAACUUGUGGCUGGUUUGUGACAUCAUACUUGGGCUUGCAAGGCUCAGGACAAGGGGCUGUUUAAUGCAGAAACCUGCACUCUAGUACCUUCAUAGGUGGAAAGCUUGCCGAGCUCAGCAGCAGCUUAGCCCAAAUAUCUACCCAAGCCCCUUAACGUGAGUCAGCUGGCAAAGGGAAACUGUGGGUUUUAAUUGCAGUUUAGACAUACUCUAAGAAUGUAAGACAGUAGAGCUAAGGGAGGAUGUCAUAACAUCAGCUCCCAGAGGUGCAUCACAGAAUACCAUUCUUAAUGGGUAAAUUUUUUAAAAUCGUUUAAGUUCCAUGUUUGAAGGACAUAGGCUCACUUUAGGCACUUUUGAAAAUUUUUCUCAGUGCCUCAACCAUAAAGAUUCUCCUAGACUUCAAAAUCUUCAUCAGUUGCCUAACACAAAACAGAGAAUAACCCACACAAACACUUAAACCACAAAUACUUUCUCCCGGCCCUUACAUAAAAAACAGUACAAAACCAGGUAUAGCAAUCACAGUCCAAAAUACGUGAUUUAGUCCAACUUGGUCAUAGCAUUACUGAGCUGAAAAUGACAGUGAUUAGUCACUUAGAACAUUAAAGAUCUUUCUUCUCUCCUCUUCAGCAUUAUAGAAUGUAGGUGACCUUGGGAAAUGUUUCUUUUUGGAUGCAACAGUUCUAUUUCAAAGAACCUUUAAGCAUUUUUAUUUGCCAUCUGUUUGUUUUUACACUUUUGGACUGAGAAGCCAAGAAGGAGAUCAUGAUGAAUGUUUAUGCAAACCAGAAUGAGAUGCAGAGAAUUUGCUGAUUUGGGUGGAAACAACUGCUGAGUCUGUAGGACCAAUGCUUGGCCUUCUGAGUAGGAGAGUGUUUUUUCUGUCCCUAAUCACCUGUCAGCACAGCUGAAUUACUACAAGACUUCUGCCACAGUGAACAUGUUGGAGGCACAAGAAUGCUGAAUUAAGAUUGGACAAGCAACAACAAAGCUGGGAAUUCUUAUCUCUUCAGUGUUCAACUUUGCAAUGUACUUUUAAUAUUAGAAUAUGAAUAGACUCCAUCAUGAGUGAGGAUAAAUUAAAGGAGAAAUUGAUUAUUUUAUUAUGAGAAACAUCAUAAGGGAAGAAAUAAUACUUUCCUCACAGGAAGGAAAAUCACAGACUCUUCAGAUCCUUGGGCAGAGUCCUGUUUGUGUGGAAAUGAGCUUUUUUCUGUAA
Molecule: non-coding RNA, 1709 nt
Organism: Pelodiscus sinensis (Chinese soft-shelled turtle)
Lineage: Eukaryota; Metazoa; Chordata; Testudines; Trionychidae
Source: RefSeq, a predicted model, not a curated record